UGGGGAAUAUUGGACAAUGGGCGCAAGCCUGAUCCAGCCAUGCCGCGUGAGUGAUGAAGGCCCUAGGGUUGUAAAGCUCUUUCACCGGUGAAGAUAAUGACGGUAACCGGAGAAGAAGCCCCGGCUAACUUCGUGCCAGCAGCCGCGGUAAUACGAAGGGGGCUAGCGUUGUUCGGAUUUACUGGGCGUAAAGCGCACGUAGGCGGACUAUUAAGUCAGGGGUGAAAUCCCGGGGCUCAACCCCGGAACUGCCUUUGAUACUGGUAGUCUUGAGUUCGAGAGAGGUGAGUGGAAUUCCGAGUGUAGAGGUGAAAUUCGUAGAUAUUCGGAGGAACACCAGUGGCGAAGGCGGCUCACUGGCUCGAUACUGACGCUGAGGUGCGAAAGCGUGGGGAGCAAACA
This 402-nucleotide ribosomal RNA is filed under the name uncultured bacterium. RNAcentral's name for it is "partial 16S ribosomal RNA". It matches the Rfam family "Bacterial small subunit ribosomal RNA", at positions 355 to 774 of the family's 1533-position model. The record is from RNAcentral. RNAcentral also lists the same sequence under 5 other names.